CUCGGGGGGCUGCAGUGGGGAAUAUUGCACAAUGGGGGAAACCCUGAUGCAGCGACGCCGCGUGAGUGAAGAAGUAUUUCGGUAUGUAAAGCUCUGUCAGCAGGGAAGAAAAUGACGGUACCUGACCAAGAAGCCCCGGCUAACUACGUGCCAGCAGCCGCGGUAAUACGGAGGGGGCAAGCGUUAUCCGGAUUUACUGGGUGUAAAGGGAGCGUAGACGGCAGGGCAAGUCUGGAGUGAAAGGCGGGGGCUCAACCCCCGGACUGCUCUGGAAACUGCCAGGCUGGAGUGCAGGAGAGGUAAGUGGAAUUCCCGGUGUAGCGGUGAAAUGCGUAGAGAUCGGGAGGAACACCAGUGGCGAAGGCGGCCUACUGGGCUUUAACUGACGCUGAGGCACGAAAGCGUGGGUAGCAAACAGGAUUAGAUACCCGGGUAGUC
RNAcentral lists this ribosomal RNA (438 nucleotides) under uncultured bacterium. RNAcentral's name for it is "partial 16S ribosomal RNA". It matches the Rfam family "Bacterial small subunit ribosomal RNA", at positions 340 to 795 of the family's 1533-position model. The record is from RNAcentral.